Molecule: long non-coding RNA, 1080 nt
Organism: Prionailurus viverrinus (fishing cat)
Lineage: Eukaryota; Metazoa; Chordata; Mammalia; Carnivora; Felidae
Exons: 4
Source: RefSeq, a predicted model, not a curated record
GUUUCCUGCAAUUGUCAGCCAGAAUUCAAGCUUAUAUUGGAAUAUAAAGUCUACACACCCGAAUUACUCUGUUUGAAACAAUGAAUAAUUCAAAGAUAAUAAAUAUAUUAUCUUUCCAUGAGAUGGGCACAGAAUACAUGUUGGUACCAUACUGCUAUCUUCAACAUACAACUCUGAACUUCACUUAAUAUUUGGACAGAGAAGAAUGAUAGGACAGUAGGAAUACUUAUUUUUUCUCUCAAGACACCAUGUGUGAUUUACAGAGGCUUUGCUUUGCUCCUUUGAGUUUUCUCUGCUUACACUGCCAGUGAUAAACAUGGCACAACAUCCAUUCUGCAGCCCGUGGAAAAAGGAUUAAUUUCAACUUUCAGGUCUUAUGAAGAAAUACACUUCAUAAGGCUAUACCUACCAUAAAUCAUGAUUCCUCUGAUGGAUCUGGGUAAAGUCCAUUGAAAGCCUUCUAGAAAGUACUCAUCAUUCUAGAUGUUACUAAGAAAAUUUGUGAUUCAUGAGAAGAGGUCAGAAUAUCAACAUUAGCAAGAGUUUUGAGAAGUUAUUCCAACCCUCAUAGACAACUUUGAGGGGUUCAAGACUUCAGUGGAAGAAGUAACUCUGAAGAUGUGACAGAAACAGCAAGAGAACUAGAGUUAGAAGUAGAGCCUGAAGAUGGGACUGAAUUGCACAAUCUCAUGAUCAAACUUUAAUGGAUGAGGAAUUGUUUCCUAUGGAUGGACGCAUAAUGUAGUUUCUUGAGAUGGAAUCUACUCCUGGUGAAGAUUUGGUGAAGAUUGUUGAAAUGACAACAAAGGAUUUAGAAUAUUACAUCAACUAAGUUGAUGGAGCAGCAGCAGGGUUGGAGAGAGUGACAUCAAUUUGAAAGAAAUUCUGCUGUGGGUAAAAUUCUAUCAAACGGCACUGCAUGCUACAGAGAAAUCAUUCAUGAAAGGACAAGUCAUUUGUUGUGGUAAACUUCAUUGUUGUCUUAUUUUAAGAAAUUGCCACAGCUACCCACCUACCCCAACCCCAGCCUUUAGCAACUACCACCCUAAUCAGUCAGCAACCAUCAACAUCAUGGCAAGA